This 492-nucleotide ribosomal RNA is filed under the name uncultured bacterium. RNAcentral's name for it is "partial 16S ribosomal RNA". It matches the Rfam family "Bacterial small subunit ribosomal RNA", at positions 29 to 507 of the family's 1533-position model. The record is from RNAcentral.
AGUGAACGCUGGCGGUAGGCCUAACACAUGCAAGUCGAACGGCAGCACAGUAAGAGCUUGCUCUUACGGGUGGCGAGUGGCGGACGGGUGAGGAAUACAUCGGAAUCUACUUUUUCGUGGGGGAUAACGUAGGGAAACUUACGCUAAUACCGCAUACGACCUACGGGUGAAAGCAGGGGAUCUUCGGACCUUGCGCGAUUGAAUGAGCCGAUGUCGGAUUAGCUAGUUGGCGGGGUAAAGGCCCACCAAGGCGACGAUCCGUAGCUGGUCUGAGAGGAUGAUCAGACACACUGGAACUGAGACACGGUCCAGACUCCUACGGGAGGCAGCAGUGGGGAAUAUUGGACAAUGGGGGCAAGCCUGAUCCAGCCAUACCGGGUGGGUGAAGAAGGCCUUCGGGUUGUAAAGCCCUUUUGUUGGGAAAGAAAAGCAGCAGGUUAAUACCCCGCUGUUCUGACGGUACCCAAAGAAUAAGCACCGGCUAACUUCGUG